Molecule: non-coding RNA, 2289 nt
Organism: Callithrix jacchus (white-tufted-ear marmoset)
Lineage: Eukaryota; Metazoa; Chordata; Mammalia; Primates; Cebidae
Source: RefSeq, a predicted model, not a curated record
GGCCUGGAGAAGCCACGGGGCCGCGUCUGGAUCCCCGGGAGGACCCCACCUCGGCCUGGCCCCCGUGACCGCCCUCCCUGCCGAGGGGGCACCUGUCCGGGUGGUCCGCAGCCUGCACUCGAGUUUCGCUCUUGUUACCCAGGCUGGAGUUCAAUGGCGCAAUCUCGGCUCACCGCAACCUCCGCCUCCUGGGUUCAGGCAAUCCUCCUGCCUCAGCCUCCCGAGUAGCUGGGACUACAGACAUUCUUCUCAGCAAUUUCCUUCACAUCCAAGGUGCAAACUGCCACCUUCGAGCAAUAACCUCUGCAUCUGGAUUUGUAGGACACAGUUAUUUCUGAACUCCAGAAUUUUCUUUUUCUUUUUUUAUAUAUAAAUUGAACGCCAGAAUUUUCAACAGCUCACUGCCUUCUCCCACGCUGAUGCUGACAUGCAUCCCAAACGGAAAUCGAUUUCCCCUCCCACCCCUGAAUCCUGCCCCUUUCCUUACGGUUGUCUCUCCUCCAAUCAGCCAUCUGUUUGUUCCUGGUGGUUCUGCUUCUGAAUAGGAAUAAUGUCUCAAGUUACGCAUAUGAGCUCUGAAGCUGCACCACCUGGGCUAACCUGGUUCUGUGCUCACUAGCUGGUGACCUUCGACAGGCCAUGGAUGACAGCCUCAGUUUCCUCAUCUAUCAGAGGGGACCUACUUAAGUACUGAGGCUCCUCGAGGGAGUUGUUAUGAGGCCUAAAUGUCUGUGUAGUGCAGUGCUCACAGCUGCCGGUUCCAUACGAGGUUGUGGCUCAACCAGAGGUACCACAAGUGGCUUCCACCGUGGGCACGAGCAUCUGGACAAAGGGAAUAUGGUGGUGCCCGAAAGCUCAGAGAUGCCAGGAACCACAGAGCCCCAAAGGGGAUUACAGUGUGUCACAGCCUGUGAGGUCUGGGCUCCCAGAAGGGUCACAGGUCUUCUCUCCUUCUCAUCACCCACAGCAUGGUGAGCAGGGGGUUGUGUUUCUGGGGCAGCAUGUUACAGCUCUUCUUUUGGCCCUGCUCCAGUCCAUGGCUCCUAGGCUGGCCCAGCCCCACUGCUGCUUCCCUUUGCUUGGAGUGGCCGUUGCAUGGUGGGAGGGCUAUACCGUUAUAGCUCUGGCUUGAGAAACCCCAAGGUCUGGGCCCCUAGAAGGCUCACCAUUCUUCACUCCCUCAGUCUGGUAGCUGUCACCACCCGCAGCUUGGUGAGCUGGCCAGGAACGUGUUACAGCCACUUUAAUUCCCACCUGCAGCUCCACAAGCUGGCCAGGAAAGCAUUACAGCUCCUUUUGCUCCCACCAUUCCGCAGGUUUCAAGUUCUUGUUCCACAUCCAGGAAGAAUGAGGUUGUCUGGGGGUUUUAUGGGUUCAGAAAGGAAGAAGUGCAUGUUGAUUGGUCCAUGGACAGGAGGAAAUGCAUGCUGAUUGGUCCAUGGGCAGGCCUGGAAAAAUCACCACUCGAUUAGCUGAAAGGCAUCAAAGAAGUUCUCUCUGGAUCUCAGACUUCACCAGCCACUGGCAGCCUAGCCCACAAGCUUCAGGCCAACCCUGGCUUGAAGGUGGAGUUUUACAAGGGACCUGCCCCUUCCUGCCUAGGAACCUGUAUGCCUCCUGCUGCCAUCACUACUCGCUGGGAAUGUGCCUUCCAAGCAAAUAAGCCACACUCCAGAACUCAGCUCAAGCUUUGCCUUCUGUAGUGGUUUAUUUUCUAAACCCCAUGACCCUCACUGUAGUGCAAUCUCUUAGCUCCCUAUCACAGGCCUUCUUAGCUCCUCCAUGUCAAGGGCUGUGUCAUCCUUGGUCCUACAUCCAUGACAUAAGGCCAAGCACAUUUUAGAUGCUUGAAGAAAAUAUUUUCUGAAUAAAUGAAUGAAUGAGGCAUGAGAUCAUCUGUGUUCUUAAAACCUUACAAUAGGCUGAGUGCGGUGGCUCACAUCUGUAAUCCCAGCACUUUCAGAGGCCGAGGUGGGCAGAUCACCUAAAAUCAGGAGUUCAAAACCAGCCUGACCAACAUGGAGACAACCCAUCUCUACUAAAAAUACAAAAUUAGCCAGGCAUGGUGGCACAUGCCUGUGAUCCCAGGGGCUCAGGAGGCUGAGGCAGGAGAAUCGCUUGAAUCUGACAGGCAGCGGUUGUGGUGAGCCCAGAUUGUGCCACUGCACUCAAGCCUGGGCAACUGGGCAACAAGAGCAAAACUCCAUCUCAAAAAAAAAAAAAAAAAAAAACAAAACCUUACAAUGUGGUUAAUGAGAAAAAGGUUUACAGAAUUAAAGUUGAACCAAA